RNAcentral lists this ribosomal RNA (253 nucleotides) under uncultured bacterium. Its description in RNAcentral is "partial 16S ribosomal RNA". It matches the Rfam family "Bacterial small subunit ribosomal RNA", at positions 524 to 776 of the family's 1533-position model. The record is from RNAcentral.
UACGGAGGAGGCAAGCGUUAUCCGGAAUUAUUGGGCGUAAAGCGUCUGUAGGUGGCGAUUCAAGUCUGCGGUCAAAGCCUGGGGCUUAACCCUGGAAAGGCCGUGGAAACUGAGUAGCUAGAGUGCAGUAGGGGUAGAGGGAAUUCCCGGUGUAGCGGUGAAAUGCGUAGAGCUCGGGAAGAACAUCGGUGGCGAAAGCGCUCUGCUGGACUGCAACUGACACUAAGGGACGAAAGCUAGGGGAGCGAAUGGG